This 642-nucleotide ribosomal RNA is filed under the name uncultured bacterium. RNAcentral describes it as "bacterial SSU rRNA". It matches the Rfam family "Bacterial small subunit ribosomal RNA", at positions 202 to 842 of the family's 1533-position model. The record is from RNAcentral.
CAAAGGUUAAUUCCGGUGGCGGAUGGGCAUGCGUCGCAUUAGUUAGUUGGCGGUGUAACGGACCACCAAGACGACGAUGCGUAGGGGUUCUGAGAGGAAGGUCCCCCACACUGGUACUGAGACACGGACCAGACUCCUACGGGAGGCAGCAGUGAGGAAUAUUGGUCAAUGGGCGGGAGCCUGAACCAGCCAAGUCGCGUGAGGGAUGACGGCCCUAUGGGUUGUAAACCUCUUUUGCCGGGGAGCAAAGUGCCGCACGUGUGCGGUUUGGAGAGUACCCGGAGAAAAAGCAUCGGCUAACUCCGUGCCAGCAGCCGCGGUAAUACGGAGGAUGCGAGCGUUAUCCGGAUUUAUUGGGUUUAAAGGGUGCGUAGGCGGACGCUUAAGUCAGCGGUAAAAUUGCGGGGCUCAACCUCGUCGAGCCGUUGAAACUGGGUGCCUUGAGUGGGCGAGAAGUACGCGGAAUGCGUGGUGUAGCGGUGAAAUGCAUAGAUAUCACGCAGAACUCCGAUUGCGAAGGCAGCGUACCGGCGCCCAACUGACGCUGAAGCACGAAGGCGUGGGUAUCGAACAGGAUUAGAUACCCUGGUAGUCCACGCAGCAAACGAUGAAUGCUAGUUGUCCGGGGCGAUUGAGUUCUGG